Long non-coding RNA from Raphanus sativus (radish), 1017 nucleotides. RefSeq lists it as uncharacterized. Lineage: Eukaryota; Viridiplantae; Streptophyta; Magnoliopsida; Brassicales; Brassicaceae. The transcript is spliced from 2 exons. The record is from RefSeq and is a predicted model, not a curated record.
ACUAUUUUCAGUCGCAGCCUAUGUUGCACGGGGACGGCAUUUUGCUUGCCGUAUCCGUACCGGAAACUUUUCCGGGACGGGGACCAUUUGGGGACGGCAACAAACAUCAAGGGGAAGAGACAGCUGAAAUUAUAUGCGACACAAGCGUCUCGUUUUUUGGUCUCCGGCAAUUUGAAGCAUCUACCGCAACUUCCGAAUUCUGCUAUUCUGGUCUCCGUCGUAGUAUAAUUGUUUGCCGCGGCGGCUAAACUUUGCGUUUAUGAAACGAACAUGAGUAUAGUAAUCAAUCUCGAGCUUCGAGACAUGGGUUUAUCUGGUCGGGUCCCAGAGUCUUUUCAGUACUGUGGUAGCUUACAGAAGCUCGAUCUAUCUAGCAAUCGAUUGUCUGAUAACAUCCCUACAAAGCUAUAUUCUUGGUAACCGUUCUUGAUGUCUCUUGAUCUGUUGAAUAAUGAACUGAACGCUGGUGUGUUUGGUAGUAUUACCAUACGAGAAAGAGUGUUAAAACGAAGGAGUUAGUAGCUUAGCACAUAGACUUAGUAGCCAUAUGCUAGGGCAAGUCUCUUUGUUUCAGAAUCCUUUGAUUAAGGUUAAGCUUGGGGACUUGAUGGCUGCAACUAAUGGUUUCAGCUCUGAGAACAUUAUCGUUACAACUAAAACAGGAACAAUGUAUAAGCCGGUUUUUCCUGAUGGCUCGGCACUUGCGGUGAAGCACUUGAGUGAGUGUAAGCUUGGGGAGAAGGAGUUUUGGUAUGAGAUGAAUCAGUUGUGGGAGCUGCAUCACCUAAGUCAGCACCACUUUUUGGUGUCUGAGUCAUUGAAGAAGAGAAGCUUCUUGUUUAGUAUUUUAAGCUUUUACACGUAAUUAAAAUCUUGUAAUAUAAUUCAUGUAAUAUUUAUGAGUAAUGAGGUUGAUUACAGGAUCUGUGUGAAAAAAAAAUAAAUGCAUUGGUAGAAAGACUCGUAUCAAAUCACCUAAAUAACUCUGAAAUUUUUAAAAAUUAGUUUACCAAAUCA